This is a small nuclear RNA of Andrographis paniculata, 148 nucleotides long. RefSeq annotates it as U4 spliceosomal RNA. The transcript has a single exon. Lineage: Eukaryota; Viridiplantae; Streptophyta; Magnoliopsida; Lamiales; Acanthaceae. The record is from RefSeq and is a predicted model, not a curated record.
AUCUUUGUGGUUGGGGCAGUGACGCAGCCAGUGAGGUUCUAAUCAAGGCGUGUCUAUUGCUUGUUGAAAACUAUCUCCAAACUCUCUCUUCGGCAUGGGCUUGACUCUGGCCGUCAAGAAGUUUUGGAAGGACUUCCAAGGGAAAGUC